This 484-nucleotide ribosomal RNA is filed under the name uncultured bacterium. RNAcentral describes it as "partial 16S ribosomal RNA". It matches the Rfam family "Bacterial small subunit ribosomal RNA", at positions 30 to 507 of the family's 1533-position model. The record is from RNAcentral.
AUUGAACGCUGGCGGCAGGCCUAACACAUGCAAGUCAAGCGGAUGAAGGGAGCUUGCUCCUGGAUUCAGCGGCGGACGGGUGAGUAAUGCCUAGGAAUCUGCCUGGUAGUGGGGGAUAACGUCCGGAAACGGGCGCUAAUACCGCAUACGUCCUGAGGGAGAAAGUGGGGGAUCUUCGGACCUCACGCUAUCAGAUGAGCCUAGGUCGGAUUAGCUAGUUGGUGGGGUAAAGGCCUACCAAGGCGACGAUCCGUAACUGGUCUGAGAGGAUGAUCAGUCACACUGGAACUGAGACACGGUCCAGACUCCUACGGGAGACAGCAGUGGGGAAUAUUGGACGAUGGGCGAAAGCCUGAUCCAGCCAUGCCGCGUGUGUGAAGAAGGUAUUCGGAUUGAAAAACGCUUUAAGUUGGGAGGAAGGGCAGUAAGUUAAUACCUUACUGUUUUGACGUUACCAACAGAAUAAGCACCGGCUAACUUCGUG